UUCCAGACUCCUACGGGAGGCAGCAGUGAGGAAUAUUGGUCAAUGGGCGGGAGCCUGAACCAGCCAAGCCGCGUGAAGGAAGAAGGCGCCAGGCGUCGUAAACUUCUUUUGUCGGGGAACAAAGGGCGCCACGCGUGGCGUUGUGAGUGUACCCGAAGAAAAAGCAUCGGCUAACUCCGUGCCAGCAGCCGCGGUAAUACGGAGGAUGCGAGCGUUAUCCGGAUUUAUUGGGUUUAAAGGGUGCGUAGGCGGUCGGAAAAGUCGGGGGUAAAAGCCGGGGGCACAACCCGGGCGAGCCGUUGAAACUGUCGGACUAGAGACGGCGAGAAGUACGCGGAAUGCGCGGUGUAGCGGUGAAAUGCAUAGAUAUCGCGCAGAACUCCGAUUGCGAAGGCAGCGUACCGGCGCCGGACUGACGCUGAGGCACGAAAGCGUGGGUAUCGAACAGGAUUAGAUACCCCUGUA
RNAcentral lists this ribosomal RNA (465 nucleotides) under uncultured bacterium. RNAcentral describes it as "bacterial SSU rRNA". It matches the Rfam family "Bacterial small subunit ribosomal RNA", at positions 329 to 792 of the family's 1533-position model. The record is from RNAcentral.